ACUUAUCAUGAUCAUUCUGCAAUUAUUUGAGUUUUUAUUAUUGCAGUAGUAUACUAGACAUAAAAUACUACACCCAUGAUUUUGAAAGGAGAGUAGAUAACUACUGGAAUAAAAAUUUCUUAGGUUAUGAGCAAGCUUUGCCCUGAAAGAGUUAGGGAUAUGAAUUAGGUGACAAAGCAGAAGAGGAUAAAUAGUUCUCUGGUUUGUUAUUAGACAAAAUGAAUUUCAUAGAAGAUGUCUGAUUUCUAAGAAUAGAGGUAAUCCUAUUUAUGAAGAAGAAGAUAUGGCCUGAGAUCAAGGGUAGCGAUGAAUGACCUAACAGCCUGGUCAGGGACCUAGAAGAAGAAACAUUGAAAGAUUGCUGACAAGCAGGCUAGGUGCUGAUGGACAUAUGGGUGAGGGUCCUGCCGAAAGCUCCACCCACUGGGAGAAUUUUCUCUUACCACUGCCUUUAAAGGCUACUCCUAGUGAGGCUACAGGGCAGUUGGCCAUCCAUUUUCAGUUUCCACCUACAUAUCCAGCCAACCCAUCCAGAAGCCAAGACCACAUUUUUUUCUCUGUCAGUCAGUCAUAGGUUAUUAACCAAAGGAGGGACACUGGUCCAACAUUAAUACUGAUGAAUGACAUGGCAGUCUGGGCUCUCUGCUGAUGCAGCUUGCCUUCUGAUACUGCUAAAGUUAUCUGGAUGUACUGCUUCCACAUGAUGAUGGUUUGCUGCUGCACCCAACCAACUUCAUGACAUGAUGGCUCUAAUAGACUCCAGCUCAUGAUGGGCAUUUAUGGAUACAUGAUCAAUCAAGUGGAAUACCAUGGUCAGGGGCUCCUCCACCAGAGCAUGCCAUGAAUUGUUUUUCAAAAGGCAAAUUUUAUGGCCUUGCUCCAAAACCUCAGAAACCACAUGUGAUUCCCCUAUACAUGGGCUUGCCACAAGCUCCACUGGUCAUGUUACUUAUCAUCAAUACUUCUAAUAUUAUAGGGCCUUCCAGGUUGUAUGGCCAGAGCAGCAUUAUUGCUUAUACCACAAUCUAGACCUGUGGCAGAGUUCUUGUGUGCCCCAAGUGCCACCAAAGCUAGCAACCAUUAGUGUCAGCCAUAUGGGCCACAGCAGUAUUCCCAGAUGUGGGAUAAUGGAAUAUACUGCUCCAUAACUCAGAGAUACCAACCAAGUGUUAAACUUCCUUUUCUGUUGUGGGGAGUGCAAGAUGUGAUCAUUUGUCUUUUAUUUUGGAGUGGAUAUCUGGCAUGCCUCUGUCCACAGAAACCCCCAAAAUUUUACUAAUGAGAAGUCCCUGAAUCUCUCUGGAGCACAAUGUGUCUACCAAGGGGCAGGGUCAGAUUUCCUGGCUACUAGUUUGAAAUUUCCACUUGUUACAAUGAUUUCAUCUACCUGGAUUUUGACAUUUAAGUGCUACCACUUGGCCUUUAUUUAGAUCCAGUCACCACCACCACCGCCACCCCCCGUGAUAUCUUGAGCCUAUUAGUAAGGGCCUUUCCUACUCUCAGCCCUAGGUUAUAGAAGAGACCUACCACUGAACUUUUAGUGAUUCUGGUGCUCAAAGCAGAACAGUUUAUAACUUUGGUUAAUGGUAUAUUUUGCAGGCCUUUGAUGGUGGGGCUUUUGGCCUUACAAAGUGUAUUUACUCCAGCAUGCUGGCUUCCAUGGGUUUUUAAAUCCCUUGGUCUACUGUUUGCUAUGGUGUUCUGGUAUUUCAACUUAGCAUGGGCAUUGCUUUUUCCACGUCUCUAGGAGUCAUCUCCAUAGUGAAUACACCAUCACCUGUAGUCCUCACCAAGCUGAUUAACCCAAUAUCCCUAGAAAGUUCGCAAGUUAAUAAACUCACCCUGCCCUAUCAUAUAUUCUGGUCCCCUUGAUUAAGCACUCUCAGAUUUCAGACCCACAGAUUCUCCUCCAGUACACAAUGUCUAGGUCUUCACAUAUUCUUUAGGAUAUUAGGCCUUAUUAGCACCAGCAUAUUCCUGAGUUCUUCUGUGACUUAACCUUAAUUAUAUGCCUAGUGGCCAUAAAAAUGUAAGGUCAGAUUCUGGAGGGGGGGCAAAUGAUGUUUUGUGGAGAGAGGACUCUGCAUUGCCUUCAAGUAAGAGGGGUGGGCAGGCUAGCUCUUUAAGAGAAAGGGUCCACUUACUUUAGCAUUUUCAGAGAGUUCAGAAGAUUCAAGUGGUUCCAAAUGUACAGGGUCAUCCACCCAAAUGUUCUCUUCCCAAAUGUUAGGAUCCCAUUCUUCCCCAACCAGACCCUGAUCUUAUCAUAAUUAACCUGCCUUGAUUGGGCAUUUAAUCUUAUCUGGAGUUCUACCACUCCAUUAACUCCUGAUCCUCAGUAUUUCCUCUGCUUCCCUGCAGGAGAGUGUUUUCGUAAGCUACCAGGAAGGUCUGUUGGCUUUCACACUUGGAGUUUCAUUGUGAAUAUCUUUUUCUAGGGUAGCAGUGGGCUUGACAAUAGCCAUCCAUUCUCAUUGUCCUAAUAAUUAGUUUCCCCAGUACUUCUCAAAGGUCUGAUUCUUUAUGCAAGGAAUAUUUUCCUACCCCAGGGGUAUACUCUCAUACCUCACCAACAAAGAGAAUUUUAGUAAUUGGGCAUACACCUUCUGCCCAGGAUGUCUGUGUUCCCCUUACCAAUGACAGGGUCCUCAUUGCAAGCUGGGCUGGAAAUGAUUCAUCUCUCAAAUCCCAAUAUUUCACCUAAUUUCUCCUACCCCUCCCAUUGCCAGCUGGCAAAGGUUAUUUCUUCCAAAAGCAAAUGUUUAAAUAGAAAUCGGUAUGCAAGCUGUUCAUUAACUAUCAACACCUGUGGAAAGGAGGAACAUGAGCCUGUCUUUAUUUGAAAUUUUGAUGUUCAUCAUCUCUCCUUACCCUGGUCCCUUUUCUGGGGAAAGAAAACCAACUUUGUCAGAGGGAGAAGCAGAACUGUAAAGACUUGUUCAUACUCCCGCCACAAUCAGUCAUGGGAUAUAGGCCAUUAUCUUGGGUGUGCUCUUGGCCCAGGUAAUGCUCUGCAGCUGAGGCAGAUGCUAAAAGAAGCAGACAGCUGCAGGCUGUUAGCAGAUUGCACGCUCAGGAGCCAAGACAAGUCCUUUUUGGAAGGCCGAUGUGGGCAAUGCAUCUCCAGUUUACUGUAGGCAUAGAGAAAAUUACUGAAUUAAAGAGACGUUUAGAAGGUGACUGAUAAGAAAAAGGAGGAAAUAGAAGUCUAAACAAACUUUUUUCUGUGGUAGCUAUUACUUGUGCUCAGAGAUAUCUGGUUCCUUUCUGGCCAUUUACUACACUUCCUAGCCCCUUUGUGGUUAGGUUGAGCUCUGUGACUAGUUCAGACUAAGGAAACGUAAGAAAAAGUGAAGGCUGUCACUUCCUGCUAGAGACUGUGAAAAGCUCCUCCGCUGUCCAGCCUCUCUUCUGCAGCCACAGUACUUGAACCACAGAAAAUUUGUUCUAGGUGGUACAGCAACAAAAGAGUGGAGCGUCCAACAGCUCGAACCCUGAGGUUAAAGGAGAAUGUCGUAAGAGACCAGAGCAAGAAGAUGAUGAAGGCUGGAAGCUGACUUAGCAAAGCUGGCGACAGGCAAAGCCACGAAGCAAUUCAAUUGAUACAGUGAGCACCCAAAAGGCCCAGAGAAUGAUACUAAGCCCGUGGUGCAAUCAGACUACACUACCGCAGAUUCAUCAGACAUCAUGCUAUAAAAACCUCAGAGUUCACAGAGCUUAAUCUUUUCUUAUACGCAUGAAAAAAAUUAAAAGAAAGCGGAGAUCAACAGACUAGAAGCUUUUUCCAACAUCGUACAGUCUGUAAGUGGCAAAGUUUAGAAUAAAAUCGAGAUCUAGUGAUAUCAAUUCCAGUUUGACUAUUUGGAUUUUUUCAAAUGCCUUUUGUUUCAUU
Molecule: long non-coding RNA, 3892 nt
Organism: Felis catus (domestic cat)
Lineage: Eukaryota; Metazoa; Chordata; Mammalia; Carnivora; Felidae
Exons: 3
Source: RefSeq, a predicted model, not a curated record